Molecule: ribosomal RNA, 459 nt
Filed under: uncultured bacterium
Lineage: Bacteria
Description: partial 16S ribosomal RNA
Rfam family: Bacterial small subunit ribosomal RNA
Source: RNAcentral
CUACGGGGGGCUCCAGUGAGGAAUAUUGGUCAAUGGGCGCGAGCCUGAACCAGCCAUCCCGCGUGCAGGAUGACGGCCCUAUGGGUUGUAAACUGCUUUUCUAUGCCAAGAAACCUGAUUACGUGUAAUCAGUUGCCGGUAGCAUAGGAAUAAGCAUCGGCUAACUCCGUGCCAGCAGCCGCGGUAAUACGGAGGAUGCAAGCGUUAUCCGGAUUCAUUGGGUUUAAAGGGUGCGCAGGUGGGCUUGUAAGUCAGUGGUGAAAUGCUGCCGCUUAACGGUAGAACUGCCAUUGAUACUGCGAGUCUUGAGUAUGGUUGAGGUAGGCGGAAUGUGUUGUGUAGCGGUGAAAUGCAUAGAUAUGACACAGAACGCCAAUUGCGAAGGCAGCUUACUAAGCCAUUACUGACGCUGAGGCACGAAAGCGUGGGGAGCGAACAGGAUUAGAUACCAUCGUAGUC